Molecule: ribosomal RNA, 747 nt
Filed under: uncultured bacterium
Lineage: Bacteria
Description: bacterial SSU rRNA
Rfam family: Bacterial small subunit ribosomal RNA
Source: RNAcentral
AGUCGAAGGAGAAGCUAUUUCGGUAGUGGAGACUGGCGGACGGGUGAGUAACACGUGGGAACCUGCCCUUCAGUUCGGGAUAACAGUUGGAAACGACUGCUAAUACCGAAUAUUCCCUACGGGGGAAAGAUUUAUCGCUGAAGGAUGGGCCCGCGGUUGAUUAGAUAGUUGGUGGGGUAAUGGCCUACCAAGUCGACGAUCAAUAGCUGGUUUGAGAGGAUGAUCAGCCACACUGGGACUGAGACACGGCCCAGACUCCUACGGGAGGCAGCAGUGGGGAAUAUUGGACAAUGGGGGCAACCCUGAUCCAGCCAUGCCGCGUGAGUGAAGAAGGCCCUAGGGUUGUAAAGCUCUUUCGCUCGUGAGGAUAAUGACUGUAGCGAGUAAAGAAGCCCCGGCUAACUUCGUGCCAGCAGCCGCGGUAAUACGAAGGGGGCUAGCGUUGUUCGGAAUUACUGGGCGUAAAGCGCGCGUAGGCGGUUUAGUAAGUUGGAGGUGAAAUCCCAGGGCUCAACCCUGGAACUGCCUUCAAAACUGCAAGACUAGAGUCCGGGAGAGGGUAGCGGAAUUCCCAGUGUAGAGGUGAAAUUCGUAGAUAUUGGGAAGAACACCGGUGGCGAAGGCGGCUACCUGGACCGGAACUGACGCUGAGGUGCGAAAGUGUGGGGAGCAAACAGGAUUAGAUACCCUGGUAGUCCACACCGUAAACGAUGAGAGCUAGACGUUUGGGGGUUUGACCUUCAGUGU